This 168-nucleotide ribosomal RNA is filed under the name Amphiprion chrysopterus (orangefin anemonefish). RNAcentral's name for it is "partial small subunit ribosomal RNA". Lineage: Eukaryota; Metazoa; Chordata; Actinopteri; Pomacentridae. The record is from RNAcentral.
CACCGCGGUUAUACGAGAGGCCCAAGUUGACAGACUACGGCGUAAAGAGUGGUUAGGGAAACUUUUAGACUAAAGCCGAACGUCCUCAAAGCUGUUUAACGCUUCCGAGUUAAGAAGAUCCAUUACGAAAGUAGCUUUACCCAACCUGACCCCACGAAAGCUGUGAAA